This 244-nucleotide long non-coding RNA is filed under the name Panax ginseng (ginseng). Its description in RNAcentral is "long non-coding RNA (PGIN_LNC010241)". The record is from RNAcentral. Lineage: Eukaryota; Viridiplantae; Streptophyta; Magnoliopsida; Apiales; Araliaceae.
UAUUAUGAUUUGAUGUUUUAAUGCAUGUGUUCAUGAUUAUUUGUAAGGUCCUUUAAAGAAUAUAUGUACAAGGACUUAGUGAUAGAUCAAAAUUGUUAUGUUGAUCUAAGCUUUCAACGUGUAUCAUUCUGUUCUAGAAUGUAUAGAUAGAAAGAUCAAAACCGUUAGGUUGAUCUUGAGAUAUAAUAGAUUAGUCUUGAAGAAAUCGUAGUGCAUCAAUCUGAUCAACAUCGCAGAAGUCAAG